UGCGGGGGCCGCUCUCACCGUCUCCUCUGCUCCUCCCCAGGCAAUAUCAUGUACAGGAAAUACCCCAACGGCCCCAAGGAGUAUCACCAGAUGCCCGUGCCAUCAUGGAGGCCCAGGAGUUCUCUCCUACCCUCAGAGUCCACAAUCAAAACCGACCGUGACAGGAACUGGAUGUUUGACAAGGAAUACCUACAGGGCGUCAAGAAGCCGAUCUUCGUGAGAAGUUUCUAACAGCGUUCUUCUCUCUCCGUCCUUUAAUUCUUUAAUCCGAAUAUGGUGAAGAAGAUACACUCGUGCAUGAAAUAACUCCCAAACACACAAAAAAUACAUAAACAGCAGCACCUUAGUGGUAGUCUUGACCCCACCAACGUCUUUGUACUUCCAGACUUAACAUAUUAAAAUUAUUUCUGUA
This is a long non-coding RNA of Penaeus monodon (black tiger shrimp), 412 nucleotides long. RefSeq lists it as uncharacterized. Lineage: Eukaryota; Metazoa; Arthropoda; Malacostraca; Decapoda; Penaeidae. The record is from RefSeq and is a predicted model, not a curated record. The transcript is spliced from 2 exons.